GGGUCGGUAGCUCAGUCGGUAGAGCACUGGACUUUUAAUCCAUUGGUCGUGGGUUCGAUUCCCACCCGACCCACCA
RNAcentral lists this transfer RNA (76 nucleotides) under Lysobacteraceae bacterium. Its description in RNAcentral is "tRNA-Lys". It matches the Rfam family "tRNA". From Rfam's summary of the family: Transfer RNA (tRNA) molecules are approximately 80 nucleotides in length. Their secondary structure includes four short double-helical elements and three loops (D, anti-codon, and T loops). Further hydrogen bonds mediate the characteristic L-shaped molecular structure. tRNAs have two regions of fundamental functional importance: the anti-codon, which is responsible for specific mRNA codon recognition, and the 3' end, to which the tRNAs corresponding amino acid is attached (by aminoacyl-tRNA synthetases). tRNAs cope with the degeneracy of the genetic code in two manners: having more than one tRNA (with a specific anti-codon) for a particular amino acid; and 'wobble' base-pairing, i.e. permitting non-standard base-pairing at the 3rd anti-codon position. The record is from RNAcentral. Lineage: Bacteria; Pseudomonadati; Pseudomonadota; Gammaproteobacteria; Lysobacterales; Lysobacteraceae. RNAcentral also lists the same sequence under 6 other names.